GCCUGCUUGGCGCAGUGGUAACGCGUAGCACUUGUAAAAAACAGAAAUGCUAAGAUCAUUGGUUCGAUUCCAGUAGUAGGCA
This is a non-coding RNA of Ciborinia camelliae, 82 nucleotides long. The record is from the annotation of a GenBank genome assembly. Lineage: Eukaryota; Fungi; Ascomycota; Leotiomycetes; Helotiales; Sclerotiniaceae.